RNAcentral lists this ribosomal RNA (503 nucleotides) under uncultured bacterium. RNAcentral's name for it is "partial 16S ribosomal RNA". It matches the Rfam family "Bacterial small subunit ribosomal RNA", at positions 28 to 523 of the family's 1533-position model. The record is from RNAcentral.
GAUGAACGCUAGCGACAGGCCUAACACAUGCAAGUCGAGGGGCGGCACAUGAGUAGCAAUACGAUGGUGGCGACCGGCGCACGGGUGAGUAACACGUAUGCAACCUACCGGUAAAAGGGGGAUAGCCUCUCGAAAGAGAGAUUAAUACCGCAUAAUAUCUCUGGAUGGCAUCAUUUAGAGAUUACACCUUUAGGGUUUACCGAUGGGCAUGCGUAUGAUUAGCUAGUAGGUGAGGUAACGGCUCACCUAGGCAACGAUCAUUAGGGGUUCUGAGAGGAAGGUCCCCCACACUGGUACUGAGACACGGACCAGACUCCGACGGGAGGCAGCAGUGAGGAAUAUUGGUCAAUGGGCGAGAGCCUGAAACAGCCAAGUCGCGUGAAGGAUGAAGGUUCUAUGGAUUGUAAACUUCUUUUGUAAGGGAAUAAAAAGAGCUACGUGUAGUUUAUUGUAUGUACUUUACGAAUAAGGAUCGGCUAACUCCGUGCCAGCAGCCGCCGUAA